This 490-nucleotide ribosomal RNA is filed under the name uncultured bacterium. Its description in RNAcentral is "bacterial SSU rRNA". It matches the Rfam family "Bacterial small subunit ribosomal RNA", at positions 30 to 513 of the family's 1533-position model. The record is from RNAcentral.
AUUGAACGCUGGCGGCAUGCCUUACACAUGCAAGUCGAACGGCAGCACGGGAGCAAUCCUGGUGGCGAGUGGCGAACGGGUGAGUAAUAUAUCGGAACGUGCCCAGUCGUGGGGGAUAACGCAGCGAAAGCUGUGCUAAUACCGCAUACGAUCUCUGGAUGAAAGCGGGGGACUCGCAAGGGCCUCGCGCGAUUGGGGCGGCCGAUAUCAGAUUAGGUAGUUGGUGGGGUAAAAGCUCACCAAGCCGACGAUCUGUAGCUGGUCUGAGAGGACGACCAGCCACACUGGAACUGAGACACGGUCCAGACUCCUACGGGAGGCAGCAGUGGGGAAUUUUGGACAAUGGGCGCAAGCCUGAUCCAGCAAUGCCGCGUGCAGGAUGAAGGCCUUCGGGUUGUAAACUGCUUUUGUACGGAACGAAAAAGUCCGGUUAAUACCUGGGCCCAUGACGGUACCGUAAGAAUAAGCACCGGCUAACUACGUGCCAGCA